AGAUGAUACAGUAUGAAGUGGUCCAGCCCAGGCAAGGAAGACCCCACCUCUUCUCACUGCCAGAUGUUGCAGGAUGUAUUUGCAUGGAGCAUUUGCCUCUCUGCUAACCCAGGGUGAGGGCUGCCACCUAAUUAAAUAAUCUUCUGUCCUGACCCUUCAAAGGCUGUAAGCAGCUUUUCCCAGCAAAGCAGUUUGCAGUGCCAUCAUGUGUGUGAAAUGGAAUAAGUUGUUAGAGCUUUCAAGGAAGAUGUAAUGCAGCACAAUCAGACAUAUCCAUGCAAAUGAACAUUCAAGGCCCUCUCAGCUCAGGACGUGGGACUACACUGAGGUGUCAACUCUCUGCUGCCCUCUGUGCCUUUCCAUGCUGGGCUCCUGCUGCAAAGAGGACCACCUACCUGCAUGUUGACCUGGAUGGGCUGUCUCUCCCCACUCUUGGUGUGGGGCACCCCUUCUGUGUCGUAGAUCCCUGUGUAAGAGGCCACUUGUGCAUCCCUCGAUUUCUCUUCCAGUGGGACAUUGACACCCCCGAUGCCCAUCGUCCUGCAAAGAGAUGGGAUGCAUCCUUUCAGCAGCCCUGCAGGCCCCCUUCCUAGCAGCAUGGAGCCAGCAGCUUGAUGGUGCGGUUCUGGCCGAAACGCUGCCCGUCCACCUUGAAGUACACCGCCCCGUCGUUGGGCUGGAUUUUGAGGGCGACGCUGAUUUUCACGAGGCUGGGGAUGUCAACCAUCGCGCGGCUGCGGGGUCUGCGCCCGUCUCGCCCCCUCCACGGAAGGCGGCCAGCAGAGGAGACCGAGACGGCGAGGGAGAGGAAGAGGAGGAGGGAGGAGGAAGAGGAGGGGCUGCCGGAUCCGAGCCAGCCCAGCCCUUCCCAAAAGCAGCAGAUGAUAUAUUUGUUUUUCCCUCCCCCGCUAAUCACGGCGCAGCAUCUGUACUGCGGAUCUUCCCUCCAUCUCCCUGUUUGGGGGACAUUUGCAGCUGCUCAAAUCGACGCGGGUUUCCAGGGAGUUAAUCCGGCCUCGGUUAUGGCAGCCUUAAUCCCGCCGUCAUUCCCGGGCCGGGCAGGGCAGGGCAGGGCGGUUCAGCACCAUGGGCGCGGACAGCAGCGCAGCUCUCAGCGGUGCAAUCGGGCGCGAUUUCUUCUGGCAUCUUCCGUUACCGCCUUAUCCCAACUCUCAUAUUAUCGCAGGA
Molecule: long non-coding RNA, 1188 nt
Filed under: Gallus gallus (chicken)
Lineage: Eukaryota; Metazoa; Chordata; Aves; Galliformes; Phasianidae
Description: long non-coding RNA NONGGAT005827
Source: RNAcentral